GCGUUGCUCGGAAUCACUGGGCGUAAAGGGCGCGUAGGCGGCCAUUCAAGUCAGGGGUGAGAGCCUGUGGCUCAACCACAGAAUUGCCUUUGAUACUGUUUGGCUAGAGACCGGAAGAGGUAAGUGGAACUGCGAGUGUAGAGGUGAAAUUCGUAGAUAUUCGCAAGAACACCAGUGGCGAAGGCGGCUUACUGGUCCGGUUCUGACGCUGAGGCGCGAAAGCGUG
RNAcentral lists this ribosomal RNA (226 nucleotides) under uncultured bacterium. Its description in RNAcentral is "partial 16S ribosomal RNA". It matches the Rfam family "Bacterial small subunit ribosomal RNA", at positions 538 to 763 of the family's 1533-position model. The record is from RNAcentral.